Long non-coding RNA from Cheilinus undulatus (humphead wrasse), 1033 nucleotides. RefSeq lists it as uncharacterized. Lineage: Eukaryota; Metazoa; Chordata; Actinopteri; Labriformes; Labridae. The transcript is spliced from 2 exons. The record is from RefSeq and is a predicted model, not a curated record.
GAGCAGGUGUGUGUCUGUGUUUCAGAGUGAAAGGGGCGAGGAGUGGAGUGUGUGUUUGCACACAGGGCAGAGCUGCUGCUACUUGGUUUGGUGGAGAAGACGGAGGCCAGAGAGACACAGAGAGCGAGGGGGGAGUUACAGACUAAAGUUGCCUGGUAGGCACUCCAGAGGGCUGAGCGUUUUUCAUUUUGGUCUCAGCUGAGAGAGCUGAAAGGACAACAACAAUGUUUUUUCGCAUCCCACGGCUGACCCCUGGAUAUAUCAGAUACCUGCAGACCCAGGCGGCCCAGACCGUCCUGCAGAGUCGGGAAGCCCCCGUGAUGCCUCGCAUGGCCAUGCUGAUGGGGGUCAUGGGGAUCGGCGUGUCAGGAUACAGCUCGCGCCAACUCACGCUGCACUACAAGCCCGCGAGCCACCUCCUCCGAUGAAAGGACAAGAGGAUAUGCAAACAUACACCCAUGGACACACAGUCACAGCAUCUUUUACUUUAAGUUGAAGUUUUAACGUUUGGAAAAUGUGUUCAACUUUAUCGGUAAUUCACUCGUAGUGGCUAUCUGGUUUGGAAGUCGGUCUUUGUAGGAAACGAGCCUCAAAACUGCUUAAAAAUGUCAACUUUACUAACUUUCAUAAAGAAAAAGAAGAAAGAUGUGUUCAUCAUCAAGCUUUAGAGUUGCAGGGAGGGGUUUUUUGUCCAUGUGACAAAGCUAGACUUGCAUGUUGAGAUAUAAGCUAGGCUGCUAGGGUGCUUGGUUAAUGGGGAGGGUGGUAGUUUAGUGAUACUAUCAUGGGUUUGGUAAAAACAUUUUUUAAUUUAAUCCCCUGAAUUUCUUGACAAAAAGUUUGUCUGUUUUGUCAAAAAAAUAUCUAAAAUGAAAGAAGUGAAUCUCCCAAGGUUCUUUGUUUCUGAUUUUGUUUUUCUCUGUGCAUCCCUGUUUAUACUCCCCUCUCUCUGUGGUUUAAGUUCAGUGUUGUCCUUGAUUUUGUGGUGAUUUGAGUUUGAGGAAAAAAAAUACAUUCACAUUGUACAAAACUA